Molecule: ribosomal RNA, 253 nt
Filed under: uncultured bacterium
Lineage: Bacteria
Description: partial 16S ribosomal RNA
Rfam family: Bacterial small subunit ribosomal RNA
Source: RNAcentral
GACAGAGGGUGCAAACGUUGUUCGGAUUUACUGGGCGUAAAGGGUGCGUAGGUGGCGGGGUAAGUCUGGAGUGAAAGCCCGGGGCUCAACCCCGGAGGGUCUCUCGAAACUGCCGAGCUAGAGUGCGGAAGAGGCAAUCGGAAUUCCCAGUGUAGCGGUGAAAUGCGUAGAUAUUGGGAAGAACACCGGAGGCGAAGGCGGAUUGCUGGGCCGACACUGACGCUGAGGCGCGAAAGCCAGGGGAGCAAACGGG